GAAUUUUUAAAGUAUUCAAAGUGACACAACUGGGAUUCAAAUCUAAGUCUGUUUGAUUCCAACUGUCAUUCUUAACCAUUAUAUGACAAUACAUAGAAUUAUGUAUAAGAAGUUCCUAUAGAUGUUAGGAACAUCGUCAUAGAAACAAUUAGGUAAUGUUGGUCAAUGUUACAGUGUAAAAGUUCCAAGUUGUGUUUAUUCUCAGAGCACCAGUGUUGCACAGAUGCAGCCUAAGAGCCUGUGUUUAGCCCGCCACCAGCUCUGGCUUCAUGAAAGAAGGUUGAGUAGUGAGAAACCGCUAGGGAGUUUUGAAUUAAAGAGACAAGCCUCGAAUUACCUUUAAAUCAGCUUCAGGAUGGCUCCUCCUAGCUCCAGCCUCAAGCCACCUGUUAUGGUAGCGAGGUUUACUGAAGAGGCCAGGGAGUGGACUUUUAUUGGGAAACAAAAAAUUCUGGGGAAAAUCCCAUCUAAUGAAGAUUAAGGGGGGCAGCAUCCCAAGGUCAGGGGCAUCGAUUGGGUCUUCGGGGUAGUGGCCAGACACGCCUCUGCACAGACAAGCCCUCCGACCUGGAGAAGGGUGGGGAAAGCUCUGACACAGCUGAGCCUAAGCACCUCUCACCCAGCCAGAGAGGUAACCCAAAUCACGUGUGAGGAUGGCCUCCCACACCUGUGAUUAAAUUUCUAAUGUUUUUUUAUAAACUGUAAUUGAACAUGAUUGGUACUUGUUUAUAGUUUUAAAUAGUAAUGACAAUAGCAUUUUAAAAAUUUUUGUAGGUUAAUUAAAUUAAAUUACCAAUCAGAAAAAAAAUGUCUCUGGUAAAAUUCACCAGUUUCAACAAAUGAUUAGUAAGAUAAUUUUUGGAAUGCAGCUUACUUAUAAGAUGAGCACUGACUCCACUAUCCUGUUCUCUUCUAUUGAGGGCUUGAAGAAAACUAGUUGUAUAAAUUUUAUGGAGAAACUUCUCAUGCAAGUUGGAAUAUGGUGAAAAAAAGAGGAGAGAAAACAAAAUUCCACACAACUUACACUCUCUAUAUCCCCUACUUUCCUCUAAUCUUAUUAGCAGGGGAACCAAAAAUGCUGUGCAUAUUAGAAGCUUUAGAAAAGAAAAAAAAUAUUCUUAUGGUUCUCUCUAGAGAGUCUGAUUAAGAAAGUGUAGAAUUUGGCCCCAGAUUAUGUAUGUUAUAUAAACAUCAAAGGUGAAUCAAUGCUUGUAUUGUCUAUUGAUUUUUCCUAGUGACAAAUUUGAACUACUCAUGUUUUCCAAGGAGCAGCUCUGUAGACAGAUGGAUAAUAGAUACUUUCAAAACAGCUAUCAAGGCAUCCCUUUUGCACUGAUUUAAAUAAUAUUUAUAAAUAAAAAGUGAAAAAUAAAAUGGGCAAAUGAAAUUUAAAACUAAUGGUUUAAUAUAAUUUGAAAUGAAAAAGUACAUUCAGCAAAUUACACAGCUCAACAUGAGCCUUUGUUCAAAUUUGCACUGUUUCAAGUAGGAGAAAUAGAAACUUUCCCAGUAUAGUUUUCUCGGUCACUUUUAUUUUUGGGGUACUGAGGAUUGAACCCAAGGUGCUUAAUCAUUGAUUCACAUCCUCAGCCCUUUUUAUUUUUGUGUUUUUAGACACUGUCUUCUCAAGUUGCUUAGGGAACUUAGAGAAAUUACAGAGGUUGGUGUUGAAUUUAUUGUCCUUGUAGCCUCAGCCUUCUAAGUCAUUGUGAUUACAGGUGUGAGACACAAUACUUGGCUUAAAAGUGUCACUUUUGAAUCAUUUUUUACUGUUGUACAUAAAUGCGUGUUUUCUCUUUUUUUGUAUUCUGGGACUCUGUUCUCUCAAUCAGUUACUCCCUAUAUACUAGAGAAAGGAGGAAACUACUGUUUGAUUCAUGGUUUCGAUUAACUGAUAUUCAAUUAUGUUAACUGAUGUUCAGAUAGUCUUAGAAAACAAUAUAUAAAAUGACAUUUGAAAGAAGAGCAAUGGUCAGUUUCAAAAAUAAAAAAUUUUCAUUAAUUGGUCAGCUUCAUCUAAGUUAAGGCUUUUCCUCUUAACAUACUCCAUGUUAAGAUAGUUCCUAUUUAAAAGAUAGAUUUUUGUUGUAAGUAAGACCCUGACCUAAACUGUGAUCUCAAAAUAAAAAUGGUUAUAAUACAAAAAUUAAAAAAAGAUCUGCAUAAAUUACA
Molecule: long non-coding RNA, 2172 nt
Filed under: Marmota monax (woodchuck)
Lineage: Eukaryota; Metazoa; Chordata; Mammalia; Rodentia; Sciuridae
Source: RNAcentral